CAUUCUUAGAUUGGUGGAGGAGGUGCCAUUUUCGAGGUACGUAUAUCCCAUUUGUACGAAAGAGCCCCUACGAAAGAGCAACUUCGUCGGCUAUAACCCCCUUGUUGCUGGAUGGGGAGCAUUAAGAUAUAGCUGUUAAUCUAGAGGCUGGAGUACAAAGAAGUGGCACAAUGAUGUGGGCUGAUGACAUUUAUAAUUAUCAAGGAAUCACCCCUACAUUCGCUCAGAAUUUUAAUGAAACUGUCCCUUGGGAAGGAAGAACUGAUACCUUGAUAUCACGGUUUGUACAUCCUAUAUAUACGACAAAUUUUAGAACAUUAUAUAACGAAGAACCAGAUCGUCGUGGCCAUGUGAUGUGAAUAAAAGGACUUGAAUUUGAUGAUAUUUUUAUAAUGUUAGAUAACAUAACUAAGUAUCUUCACAGUAAGAUAGGAUGACAUGGUUUACAUGAUCUUAAUGUUGUUCACUCGAGUGAUGAUAUUAUAAGGAAAAGCGUAAUAUCACAGGAUAUUUAUGUUUAGUAACCAGUAAUUCAGAGAUUGGUAUUCAUGGUUACUAUAACGAGGCUGUAGAAACGCACCCUUUCUUCUUUGCAAAUGGUCCUGUAUUUAUGUCUAAGCCGAAACUGGAACCUCUGAAUAAUUUAGAUUUAUUCUUGUUAUUUUCUAAAAUACUUAUCUACAGUAUACCAUAAGGAAUGAUACCGUAUCGCACCUAAUCAAGUGCCUUAAGAAACAUCAACAGGAUAUCACAGUAAGUAAUCC
Molecule: long non-coding RNA, 764 nt
Organism: Bombus huntii
Lineage: Eukaryota; Metazoa; Arthropoda; Insecta; Hymenoptera; Apidae
Exons: 5
Source: RefSeq, a predicted model, not a curated record